This 216-nucleotide unclassified non-coding RNA is filed under the name Hevea brasiliensis (rubber tree). Lineage: Eukaryota; Viridiplantae; Streptophyta; Magnoliopsida; Malpighiales; Euphorbiaceae. The record is from RNAcentral.
GUGGCGUCGACCCCCUUACCCCUUUCCAGUUCCUCAUAUAAUUGGGGGAGAUUAUGACAUUGUGCCUGGUAUCAGGCUCCCUGGAUAUGGAGUUCCUGGACAAUCAUUACCUCGGAUUCCACGGCGACACAUUUUCAUGCCACAUUAUGAUUUGAGAGGACGAUGAGUACCGAAUUCAAGUUCUCAAUCUAGGCAGUUUUUGUUGUAGUUUUGGGU